GGGGAACCUGCCCCAUAGUCUGGGAUACCACUUGGAAACAGGUGCUAAUACCGGAUAAGAAAGCGGAUCGCAUGAUCAGCUUUUAAAAGGCGGCGUAAGCUGUCGCUAUGGGAUGGCCCCGCGGUGCAUUAGCUAGUUGGUAAGGUAAAGGCUUACCAAGGCGAUGAUGCAUAGCCGAGUUGAGAGACUGAUCGGCCACAUUGGGACUGAGACACGGCCCAAACUCCUACGGGAGGCAGCAGUA
Molecule: ribosomal RNA, 244 nt
Filed under: uncultured Lactobacillus sp.
Lineage: Bacteria; Bacillati; Bacillota; Bacilli; Lactobacillales; Lactobacillaceae
Description: partial 16S ribosomal RNA
Rfam family: Bacterial small subunit ribosomal RNA
Source: RNAcentral